AACGCGAAGAACCUUACCUACUCUUGACAUCCAGAGAACUUUCCAGAGAUGGAUUGGUGCCCUCGGGAACUCUGAGACAGGUGCUGCAUGGCUGUCGUCAGCUCGUGUUGUGAAAUGUUGGGUUAAGUCCCGCAACGAGCGCAACCCUUAUCCUUUGUUGCCAGCGGUUCGGCCGGGAACUCAAAGGAGACUGCCAGUGAUAAACUGGAGGAAGGUGGGGAUGACGUCAAGUCAUCAUGGCCCUUACGAGUAGGGCUACACACGUGCUACAAUGGCGUAUACAAAGAGAAGCGACCUCGCGAGAGCAAGCGGACCUCAUAAAGUACGUCGUACUCCGGAUUGGAGUCUGCAACUCGACUCCAUGAGGUCGGAAUCGCUAGUAAUCGUAGAUCAGAAUGCUACGGUGAAUACGUUCCCGGGCCUUGUACACACCG
Molecule: ribosomal RNA, 434 nt
Filed under: uncultured Serratia sp.
Lineage: Bacteria; Pseudomonadati; Pseudomonadota; Gammaproteobacteria; Enterobacterales; Yersiniaceae
Description: bacterial SSU rRNA
Rfam family: Bacterial small subunit ribosomal RNA
Source: RNAcentral